CGACUUCAAUUGGAAGUCGAAUUUUUCCCGUCCUCAAACGCCUCGAUUCGGCCUCUAUAUAGGGGAUCAACGUCUCCCUCGAAGCAACCAUCAGAAAACGCCGCCCGAGCGACCCAUCCUUUUCUGCUUUCUCCGCUUGGAAAGCUUCUGUUUCCCAUUCCUUUUUGUUGAUGGAAAUCAGGAUCACCGACUCCCAAAAUUUAGGUAAGGACCGUUGGUUCUCUAAUUGAUUCUUAUUCCCAUCUUUCUAAGUCUUGGAAUCAAGAUUUAAGGCUGGAUAAUCCUCAGAUUUGAUCAAAAAGUUAGAUGCCUUGUUUUGCUGUUUGAUUCUCCUAUUUUCGAGUUUUCCUCAGUCGAUUUCCUUCCUUUUUUUUUGGCCUUCUUGCCGUCGGUCACAGGCCACCAUCUGAAGGCCUUCCAUGCCGGUCCUUCGGCCAUGGCUAAAGCCAACGGUGGAGCCUCCCUUGUAUCGGAGAAACAAGGGGGGGAAUCUCCUGUUCCGUCAACGAAGUAAAAGAAGGAAAAAAAAGGGGGACGUGACCCUGUUUCACUUUUUUUUUUUUUCUUUUUUAAAUAUUUUUUUUUAAAAAAAUUAUUCCUCAAUCUAUCCACGAACCCAACUUAUUUUUCAAAUUACCGUGGUUAUGGUGAGUUGGUAAUGACACGGCGA
This 670-nucleotide long non-coding RNA is filed under the name Elaeis guineensis (African oil palm). RNAcentral describes it as "long non-coding RNA (EGUI_LNC072438)". The record is from RNAcentral. Lineage: Eukaryota; Viridiplantae; Streptophyta; Magnoliopsida; Arecales; Arecaceae.